GGAAACAGGUGCUAAUACCGUAUAACACUAUUUUCCGCAUGGAAGAAAGUUGAAAGGCGCUUUUGCGUCACUGAUGGAUGGACCCGCGGUGCAUUAGCUAGUUGGUGAGGUAACGGCUCACCAAGGCCACGAUGCAUAGCCGACCUGAGAGGGUGAUCGGCCACACUGGGACUGAGACACGGCCCAGACUCCUACGGGAGGCAGCAGUAGGGAAUCUUCGGCAAUGGGCGAAAGUCUGACCGAGCAACGCCGCGUGAGUGAAGAAGGUUUUCGGAUCGUAAAACUCUGUUGUUAGAGAAGAACAAGGAUGAGAGUAAAAUGUUCAUCCCUUGACGGUAUCUAACCAGAAAGCCACGGCUAACUACGUGCCAGCAGCCGCGGUAAUACGUAGGUGGCAAGCGUUGUCCGGAUUUAUUGGGCGUAAAGCGAGCGCAGGCGGUUUCUUAAGUCUGAUGUGAAAGCCCCCGGCUCAACCGGGGAGGGUCAUUGGAAACUGGGAGACUUGAGUGCAGAAGAGGAGAGUGGAAUUCCAUGUGUAGCGGUGAAAUGCGUAGAUAUAUGGAGGAACACCAGUGGCGAAGGCGGCUCUCUGGUCUGUAACUGACGCUGAGGCUCGAAAGCGUGGGGAGCGAACAGGAUUAGAUACCCUGGUAGUCCACGCCGUAAACGAU
This 671-nucleotide ribosomal RNA is filed under the name uncultured bacterium. RNAcentral describes it as "bacterial SSU rRNA". It matches the Rfam family "Bacterial small subunit ribosomal RNA", at positions 152 to 810 of the family's 1533-position model. The record is from RNAcentral.